GACCCGAAACCCGGUGAUCUAGCCAUGGGCAGGUUGAAGGUUGGGUAACACUAACUGGAGGACCGAACCGACUAAUGUUGAAAAAUUAGCGGAUGACUUGUGGCUGGGGGUGAAAGGCCAAUCAAACCGGGAGAUAGCUGGUUCUCCCCGAAAGCUAUUUAGGUAGCGCCUCGUGAAUUCAUCUCCGGGGGUAGAGCACUGUUUCGGCAAGGGGGUCAUCCCGACUUACCAACCCGAUGCAAACUGCGAAUACCGGAGAAUGUUAUCACGGGAGACACACGGCGGGUGCUAACGUCCGUCGUGAAGAGGGAAACAACCCAGACCGCCAGCUAAGGUCCCAAAGUCAUGGUUAAGUGGGAAACGAUGUGGGAAGGCCCAGACAGCCAGGAUGUUGGCUUAGAAGCAGCCAUCAUUUAAAGAAAGCGUAAUAGCUCACUGGUCGAGUCGGCCUGCGCGGAAGAUGUAACGGGGCUAAACCAUGCACCGAAGCUGCGGCAGCGACACUAUGUGUUGUUGGGUAGGGGAGCGUUCUGUAAGCCUGUGAAGGUGUGCUGUGAGGCAUGCUGGAGGUAUCAGAAGUGCGAAUGCUGACAUAAGUAACGAUAAAGCGGGUGAAAAGCCCGCUCGCCGGAAGACCAAGGGUUCCUGUCCAACGUUAAUCGGGGCAGGGUGAGUCGACCCCUAAGGCGAGGCCGAAAGGCGUAGUCGAUGGGAAACAGGUUAAUAUUCCUGUACUUGGUGUUACUGCGAAGGGGGGACGGAGAAGGCUAUGUUGGCCGGGCGACGGUUGUCCCGGUUUAAGCGUGUAGGCUGGUUUUCCAGGCAAAUCCGGAAAAUCAAGGCUGAGGCGUGAUGACGAGGCACUACGGUGCUGAAGCAACAAAUGCCCUGCUUCCAGGAAAAGCCUCUAAGCAUCAGGUAACAUCAAAUCGUACCCCAAACCGACACAGGUGGUCAGGUAGAGAAUACCAAGGCGCUUGAGAGAACUCGGGUGAAGGAACUAGGCAAAAUGGUGCCGUAACUUCGGGAGAAGGCACGCUGAUAUGUAGGUGAGGUCCCUCGCGGAUGGAGCUGAAAUCAGUCGAAGAUACCAGCUGGCUGCAACUGUUUAUUAAAAACACAGCACUGUGCAAACACGAAAGUGGACGUAUACGGUGUGACGCCUGCCCGGUGCCGGAAGGUUAAUUGAUGGGGUUAGCGCAAGCGAAGCUCUUGAUCGAAGCCCCGGUAAACGGCGGCCGUAACUAUAACGGUCCUAAGGUAGCGAAAUUCCUUGUCGGGUAAGUUCCGACCUGCACGAAUGGCGUAAUGAUGGCCAGGCUGUCUCCACCCGAGACUCAGUGAAAUUGAACUCGCUGUGAAGAUGCAGUGUACCCGCGGCAAGACGGAAAGACCCCGUGAACCUUUACUAUAGCUUGACACUGAACAUUGAGCCUUGAUGUGUAGGAUAGGUGGGAGGCUUAGAAGUGUGGACGCCAGUCUGCAUGGAGCCGACCUUGAAAUACCACCCUUUAAUGUUUGAUGUUCUAACGUUGACCCGUAAUCCGGGUUGCGGACAGUGUCUGGUGGGUAGUUUGACUGGGGCGGUCUCCUCCUAAAGAGUAACGGAGGAGCACGAAGGUUGGCUAAUCCUGGUCGGACAUCAGGAGGUUAGUGCAAUG
Molecule: ribosomal RNA, 1661 nt
Filed under: Escherichia coli
Lineage: Bacteria; Pseudomonadati; Pseudomonadota; Gammaproteobacteria; Enterobacterales; Enterobacteriaceae
Description: partial 23S ribosomal RNA
Rfam family: Bacterial large subunit ribosomal RNA
Source: RNAcentral